GGUUAAGCGACUAAGCGUACACGGUGGAUGCCCUGGCAGUCAGAGGCGAUGAAGGACGUGCUAAUCUGCGAUAAGCGUCGGUAAGGUGAUAUGAACCGUUAUAACCGGCGAUUUCCGAAUGGGGAAACCCAGUGUGAUUCGUCACACUAUCAUUAACUGAAUCCAUAGGUUAAUGAGGCGAACCGGGGGAACUGAAACAUCUAAGUACCCCGAGGAAAAGAAAUCAACCGAGAUUCCCCCAGUAGCGGCGAGCGAACGGGGAGCAGCCCAGAGCCUGAAUCAGUGUGUGUGUUAGUGGAAGCGUCUGGAAAGGCGCGCGAUACAGGGUGACAGCCCCGUACACAAAAAUGCACAUACUGUGAGCUCGAUGAGUAGGGCGGGACACGUGGUAUCCUGUCUGAAUAUGGGGGGACCAUCCUCCAAGGCUAAAUACUCCUGACUGACCGAUAGUGAACCAGUACCGUGAGGGAAAGGCGAAAAGAACCCCGGCGAGGGGAGUGAAAAAGAACCUGAAACCGUGUACGUACAAGCAGUGGGAGCCUCUUUAUGGGGUGACUGCGUACCUUUUGUAUAAUGGGUCAGCGACUUAUAUUCUGUAGCAAGGUUAACCGAAUAGGGGAGCCGAAGGGAAACCGAGUCUUAACUGGGCGUUAAGUUGCAGGGUAUAGACCCGAAACCCGGUGAUCUAGCCAUGGGCAGGUUGAAGGUUGGGUAACACUAACUGGAGGACCGAACCGACUAAUGUUGAAAAAUUAGCGGAUGACUUGUGGCUGGGGGUGAAAGGCCAAUCAAACCGGGAGAUAGCUGGUUCUCCCCGAAAGCUAUUUAGGUAGCGCCUCGUGAAUUCAUCUCCGGGGGUAGAGCACUGUUUCGGCAAGGGGGUCAUCCCGACUUACCAACCCGAUGCAAACUGCGAAUACCGGAGAAUGUUAUCACGGGAGACACACGGCGGGUGCUAACGUCCGUCGUGAAGAGGGAAACAACCCAGACCGCCAGCUAAGGUCCCAAAGUCAUGGUUAAGUGGGAAACGAUGUGGGAAGGCCCAGACAGCCAGGAUGUUGGCUUAGAAGCAGCCAUCAUUUAAAGAAAGCGUAAUAGCUCACUGGUCGAGUCGGCCUGCGCGGAAGAUGUAACGGGGCUAAACCAUGCACCGAAGCUGCGGCAGCGACACUAUGUGUUGUUGGGUAGGGGAGCGUUCUGUAAGCCUGUGAAGGUGUGCUGUGAGGUAUGCUGGAGGUAUCAGAAGUGCGAAUGCUGACAUAAGUAACGAUAAAGCGGGUGAAAAGCCCGCUCGCCGGAAGACCAAGGGUUCCUGUCCAACGUUAAUCGGGGCAGGGUGAGUCGACCCCUAAGGCGAGGCCGAAAGGCGUAGUCGAUGGGAAACAGGUUAAUAUUCCUGUACUUGGUGUUACUGCGAAGGGGGGACGGAGAAGGCUAUGUUGGCCGGGCGACGGUUGUCCCGGUUUAAGCGUGUAGGCUGGUUUUCCAGGCAAAUCCGGAAAAUCAAGGCUGAGGCGUGAUGACGAGGCACUACGGUGCUGAAGCAACAAAUGCCCUGCUUCCAGGAAAAGCCUCUAAGCAUCAGGUAACAUCAAAUCGUACCCCAAACCGACACAGGUGGUCAGGUAGAGAAUACCAAGGCGCUUGAGAGAACUCGGGUGAAGGAACUAGGCAAAAUGGUGCCGUAACUUCGGGAGAAGGCACGCUGAUAUGUAGGUGAAGUCCCUUGCGGAUGGAGCUGAAAUCAGUCGAAGAUACCAGCUGGCUGCAACUGUUUAUUAAAAACACAGCACUGUGCAAACACGAAAGUGGACGUAUACGGUGUGACGCCUGCCCGGUGCCGGAAGGUUAAUUGAUGGGGUUAGCGGUAACGCGAAGCUCUUGAUCGAAGCCCCGGUAAACGGCGGCCGUAACUAUAACGGUCCUAAGGUAGCGAAAUUCCUUGUCGGGUAAGUUCCGACCUGCACGAAUGGCGUAAUGAUGGCCAGGCUGUCUCCACCCGAGACUCAGUGAAAUUGAACUCGCUGUGAAGAUGCAGUGUACCCGCGGCAAGACGGAAAGACCCCGUGAACCUUUACUAUAGCUUGACACUGAACAUUGAGCCUUGAUGUGUAGGAUAGGUGGGAGGCUUUGAAGUGUGGACGCCAGUCUGCAUGGAGCCGACCUUGAAAUACCACCCUUUAAUGUUUGAUGUUCUAACGUUGGCCCCUGAUCGGGGUUGCGGACAGUGUCUGGUGGGUAGUUUGACUGGGGCGGUCUCCUCCUAAAGAGUAACGGAGGAGCACGAAGGUUGGCUAAUCCUGGUCGGACAUCAGGAGGUUAGUGCAAUGGCAUAAGCCAGCUUGACUGCGAGCGUGACGGCGCGAGCAGGUGCGAAAGCAGGUCAUAGUGAUCCGGUGGUUCUGAAUGGAAGGGCCAUCGCUCAACGGAUAAAAGGUACUCCGGGGAUAACAGGCUGAUACCGCCCAAGAGUUCAUAUCGACGGCGGUGUUUGGCACCUCGAUGUCGGCUCAUCACAUCCUGGGGCUGAAGUAGGUCCCAAGGGUAUGGCUGUUCGCCAUUUAAAGUGGUACGCGAGCUGGGUUUAGAACGUCGUGAGACAGUUCGGUCCCUAUCUGCCGUGGGCGCUGGAGAACUGAGGGGGGCUGCUCCUAGUACGAGAGGACCGGAGUGGACGCAUCACUGGUGUUCGGGUUGUCAUGCCAAUGGCACUGCCCGGUAGCUAAAUGCGGAAGAGAUAAGUGCUGAAAGCAUCUAAGCACGAAACUUGCCCCGAGAUGAGUUCUCCCUGACUCCUUGAGAGUCCUGAAGGAACGUUGAAGACGACGACGUUGAUAGGCCGGGUGUGUAAGCGCAGCGAUGCGUUGAGCUAACCGGUACUAAUGAACCGUGAGGCUUAACCUU
Molecule: ribosomal RNA, 2904 nt
Filed under: Escherichia coli
Lineage: Bacteria; Pseudomonadati; Pseudomonadota; Gammaproteobacteria; Enterobacterales; Enterobacteriaceae
Also listed under: 1 other name
Description: 23S ribosomal RNA
Rfam family: Bacterial large subunit ribosomal RNA
Source: RNAcentral